GACAAUGGAGGCAACUCUGAUCCAGCCAUGCCGCGUGCAGGAAGACUGCCCUAUGGGUUGUAAACUGCUUUUAUACAGGAAGAAACACCUCUACGUGUAGAGGCUUGACGGUACUGUAAGAAUAAGGAUCGGCUAACUCCGUGCCAGCAGCCGCGGUAAUACGGAGGAUCCAAGCGUUAUCCGGAAUCAUUGGGUUUAAAGGGUCCGUAGGUGGAUAAUUAAGUCAGAGGUGAAAUCUUGCAGCUCAACUGUAAAAUUGCCUUUGAAACUGGUUAUCUUGAGUUAUUAUGAAGUAGUUAGAAUAUGUAGUGUAGCGGUGAAAUGCAUAGAUAUUACAUAGAAUACCAAUUGCGAAGGCAGAUUACUAGUAAUCAACUGACACUGAUGGACGAAAGCGUGGGUAGCGAACAGGAUUAGAUACCCUGGUAGUCCACGCCGUAAACGAUGGUUACUAGCUGUUUGGACUUCGGUCUGAGUGGCUAAGCGAAAGUGAUAAGUAACCCACCUGGGGAGUACGUUCGCAAGACUGAAACUCAAAGGAAUUGACGGGGGCCCGCACAAGCGGUGGAGCAUGUGGUUUAAUUCGAUGAUACGCGAGGAACCUUACC
RNAcentral lists this ribosomal RNA (608 nucleotides) under uncultured Bacteroidota bacterium. RNAcentral describes it as "bacterial SSU rRNA". It matches the Rfam family "Bacterial small subunit ribosomal RNA", at positions 367 to 975 of the family's 1533-position model. Lineage: Bacteria; Pseudomonadati; Bacteroidota. The record is from RNAcentral.